AGAGCGAACGCUGGCGGCAGGCCUAACACAUGCAAGUCGAGCGCACCCUUCGGGGUGAGCGGCGGACGGGUGAGUAACACGUGGGAACGUGCCCUUCGGUUCGGAAUAACUCUGGGAAACUAGAGCUAAUACCGGAUACGCCCUAACGGGGAAAGGUUACGCCGAAGGAGCGGCCCGCGUCGGAUUAGCUAGUUGGUGGGGUAAAGGCCCACCAAGGCUACGAUCCGUAGCUGGUCUGAGAGGAUGAUCAGCCACACUGGGACUGAGACACGGCCCAGACUCCUACGGGAGGCAGCAGUGGGGAAUCUUGCGCAAUGGGCGAAAGCCUGACGCAGCCAUGCCGCGUGAAUGAUGAAGGUCUUAGGAUUGUAAAAUUCUUUCACCGGGGACAUAAUGACGGUACCCGGAGAAGAAGCCCGGCUAACUUCGUGCCAGCAGCCGC
This 442-nucleotide ribosomal RNA is filed under the name uncultured soil bacterium. Its description in RNAcentral is "bacterial SSU rRNA". It matches the Rfam family "Bacterial small subunit ribosomal RNA", at positions 26 to 518 of the family's 1533-position model. The record is from RNAcentral.